This 529-nucleotide long non-coding RNA is filed under the name Triticum aestivum (bread wheat). Its description in RNAcentral is "long non-coding RNA (TAES_LNC019799)". The record is from RNAcentral. Lineage: Eukaryota; Viridiplantae; Streptophyta; Magnoliopsida; Poales; Poaceae.
UAAAACAAGAAGCACACUGUAAACCGCAUCGACACCAACACCAGAAAUAAACUGCAAAGCCUUCUGCUGUUGCAUAGCAACAUUCAUUAUUAUGUGACUGGUACAACAAACCAAUGCUUUCAAACAAAGAAGCAGCGGUACGGUACGGUACAGACACAACCGCGACCUGCGCAGACAUCUGUCACCUGCGAGAUCGCGAUAACUGAGAUGGAACUCAACACAAAGACCGGCUACAAAUAACUUAGGACACCUCAUGCCCACAUCGACUCUGAUGCACCUCCUUCCUCGCUGGGGUGCCAAACCCUAUCUAUCUUCCAUGGAUGUCACAUUCGGCAACUUGGUCUGGGGGCACCGACCUUUCGGAGUCUGCAUUAGGGUCCAGGGGGCACCCGGGUAGCGGUAACAUCGGCUCGCCUCUCAGUUAUUGGUCUCUGAAUAGGGUGGAGAGCAGCAGGUCUUGCACAAACAUCGCUCUCACGCUGGCUUGCUCCCUUUCUUCCCUUGUGAGCGACGAGUCAAUACUGCCAAG